RNAcentral lists this ribosomal RNA (467 nucleotides) under Scymnus sp. SMB-2011. RNAcentral's name for it is "SSU rRNA". It matches the Rfam family "Eukaryotic small subunit ribosomal RNA", at positions 254 to 716 of the family's 1831-position model. The record is from RNAcentral. Lineage: Eukaryota; Metazoa; Arthropoda; Insecta; Coleoptera; Coccinellidae.
AACUUUAAGUACUGAUCGCACGGUCUCGUACCGGCGACGCAUCUUUCAAUAGUCUGACUUAUCAACUGUCGAUGGUAGGUUCUGCGCCUACCAUGGUUGUAACGGGUAACGGGGGAAGUCAGGGUUCGGAUUCCGGAGAGGGAGCCUGAGAAACGGCUACCACAUCCAAGGAAGGCAGCAGGCGCGCAAAUUACCCACUCCCGGCACGGGGAGGUAGUGACGAAAAAUAACGAUACGGGACUCAUCCGAGGCCCCGUAAUCGGAAUGAGUACACUCUAAACCCUUUAACGAGGAUCAAUUGGAGGGCAAGUCUGGUGCCAGCAGCCGCGGUAAUUCCAGCUCCAAUAGCGUAUAUUAAAGUUGUUGCGGUUAAAAAGCUCGUAGUCGAAUUUGUGUCUCGCGCCGCCGGUUCAUCGUUCGCGGUGUCAACUGGCGUGCCGNGAGACGUCCUGCCGGCGGGCUUAGCU